AGAGUUGAUCCUAGCUUAGGACGAACGCUGGCGGCGUGCCUAACACGAUGCAAGUCGAGCGAGGAGAUUCCUCGGGAUGAUCCUAGCGGCGGACGGGUGAGUAACACGUGGGCAACCUGCCUCAUAGAGAGGAAUAGCCUUCCGAAAGGGAGAUUAAUACCUCAUAACAUUGCAGUUUCGCAUGGAACAGCAAUUAAAGGAGUAAUCCGCUAUGAGAUGGGCCCGCGGCGCAUUAGCUAGUUGGUGAGGUAACGGCUCACCAAGGCGACGAUGCGUAGCCGACCUGAGAGGGUGAUCGGCCACAUUGGGACUGAGACACGGCCCAGACUCCUACGGGAGGCAGCAGUGGGGAAUAUUGCACAAUGGGGGAAACCCUGAUGCCAGCAACGCCGCGUGAGUGAUGACGGCCUUCGGGUUGUAAAGCUCUGUCUUCAGGGACGAUAAUGACGGUACCUGAGGAGGAAGCCACGGCUAACUACGUGCCAGCCGCGGC
This 493-nucleotide ribosomal RNA is filed under the name uncultured bacterium. Its description in RNAcentral is "bacterial SSU rRNA". It matches the Rfam family "Bacterial small subunit ribosomal RNA", at positions 8 to 518 of the family's 1533-position model. The record is from RNAcentral.